This 423-nucleotide small RNA is filed under the name Histoplasma capsulatum. RNAcentral's name for it is "hypothetical RNA". RNAcentral also lists the same sequence under 1 other name. Lineage: Eukaryota; Fungi; Ascomycota; Eurotiomycetes; Onygenales; Ajellomycetaceae. The record is from RNAcentral.
CAUGUCCGGGUACUCGGUGUCUCUUCUGUUUUGGCGGUAGCCACCUGCCACACUCCACACAGAUUUACUUCUUUUCACGAACCAAUCACCUUCAAAGACAUGUCCCAAAUUGCCACCUCUGUUACCUUGACUCCGAUGCUCAGCUCUGGCGCCCUCACCUGUCAUGCCCAAAGACACUGAAUGGCAUUGAAGGCUUUCAGUCCACAACAUGUACACGUGACCAAUUGCAUCUCUAUAUCACCUGCUUGAUUGAAGUUCUUGUAGUGAAGAAAAUCUGUCAUGAAGAAAUUAAUAUAGUUGAUAUGGGUUGCUAGACAUUCUUUGACCCUAACAGCAUGCACAGAACAGAAUCUAGAGUAUUAGUGGAACUUUGAAUAAAUGUAGCAGCUAAAGGUGUCUUGAUCAAUGCAAGUUUGAUGUCCC